RNAcentral lists this ribosomal RNA (631 nucleotides) under uncultured Ceratobasidium. RNAcentral describes it as "LSU rRNA". It matches the Rfam family "Eukaryotic large subunit ribosomal RNA", at positions 130 to 769 of the family's 3401-position model. Lineage: Eukaryota; Fungi; Basidiomycota; Agaricomycetes; Cantharellales; Ceratobasidiaceae. The record is from RNAcentral.
UUCACCGUCCGAGUUGUAGUCUAGAGAAGCAUCAUCUACGCUGGACCAUGUACAAGUCUCUUGGAACAGAGCGUCAUAGAGGGUGAGAAUCCCGUCCUUGACAUGGACUCCCAGUGUUCUGUGUUGUGCUCUCAACGAGUCGAGUUGUUUGGGAAUGCAGCUCAAAAUGGGUGGUAAAUUCCAUCUAAAGCUAAAUAUUGGCGAGAGACCGAUAGCGAACAAGUACCGUGAGGGAAAGAUGAAAAGCACUUUGGAGAGAGAGUUAAACAGUACGUGAAAUUGUUGAAAUGGAAACGCUUGAAGUCAGUCGCGUUCUCUGGGAUUCAGCCUUGCUUUUGCUUGGUGCAUUUCCUAGUCUACGGGCCAGCAUGGAUUUCGACCGUUGGAAAAGGGCUGGGGGAAUGUGGCACCUUCGGGUGUGUUAUAGCCCCCUGUCGCAUGCAUCGGUUGGGAUCGAGGACCUCAGUGCACGCUUCGGUUGUGCUUUGAUGCUGGCGUAAUGGCUUUAAACGACCCGUCUUGAAACACGGACCAAGGAGUCUAACAUGUCUGCGAGUGUUUGGGUGAAAAACUCGGACGCGCAAUGAAAGUGAUAGUUGGGAACCUUUCACGAGGGGCACCGACGCCCGGA